Molecule: non-coding RNA, 480 nt
Organism: Pelobates cultripes (western spadefoot toad)
Lineage: Eukaryota; Metazoa; Chordata; Amphibia; Anura; Pelobatidae
Source: the annotation of a GenBank genome assembly
GCAUGUUUCAUCCUUUUGUCAAUGACUUUUCGCCGCCAACCAUCCAUUCAUUCCACUGUUCUCGAAUGCGAUCUUUAAAUGGCUUGUUUAGGCACACAUCCAGUGGCUGUACCAAUGAUGUCAAACCUGCAGGAAUAACUGCUGCAUCUGUGUUUAGUCUUGCAAGCCUUUGCUUGGUGCUGGGAGUUAAAUGAGCCCUAAACAUAUCCCACACCAGUAGACUACGUUUUUGAAUAAGUCCACCUAGUCGCCUGCUCCAUACAUUAUCAAGCCAUAGCUUUACCCCUUCUUCAUCCAUCCAGCCUUUUUCAUUCACAUGUACAAAACAACCAACAGGGAACUUGAGUUUCGGCAUUGUUUUUCUUUUAAAAAUAAUCAUUGGUCUCAGUUUGGCGCCAUCAGCUGUGCAUCCUAGUACCACUGUAAAAUUGGACUUCUCAUGUCCUGUUGUUUUAAUUAAAAUAGUUUUUUUACCUUUUU